GUCAAUGCUGUUUUUGAAUAGCUGAAGGGUUAGUGUCGUUCCUUACUAUGUGACUGCUCACUCUCCAGCUAUUCAAAAACAGCAUUC
This 87-nucleotide microRNA precursor is filed under the name Paramuricea clavata. Lineage: Eukaryota; Metazoa; Cnidaria; Anthozoa; Malacalcyonacea; Plexauridae. The record is from RNAcentral.